RNAcentral lists this ribosomal RNA (495 nucleotides) under uncultured bacterium. RNAcentral describes it as "partial 16S ribosomal RNA". It matches the Rfam family "Bacterial small subunit ribosomal RNA", at positions 29 to 506 of the family's 1533-position model. The record is from RNAcentral.
ACGAACGCUGGCGGCGUGCCUAAUACAUGCAAGUAGAACGCUGAAGAGAGGAGCUUGCUCUUCUUGGAUGAGUUGCGAACGGGUGAGUAACGCGUAGGUAACCUGCCUUGUAGCGGGGGAUAACUAUUGGAAACGAUAGCUAAUACCGCAUAACAAUGGAUGACACAUGUCAUUUAUUUGAAAGGGGCAAUUGUUCCACUACAAGAUGGACCUGCGUUGUAUUAGCUAGUAGGUGAGGUAAUGGCUCACCUAGGCGACGAUACAUAGCCGACCUGAGAGGGUGAUCGGCCACACUGGGACUGAGACACGGCCCAGACUCCUACGGGAGGCAGCAGUAGGGAAUCUUCGGCAAUGGGGGCAACCCUGACCGAGCAACGCCGCGUGAGUGAAGAAGGUUUUCGGAUCGUAAAGCUCUGUUGUAAGUCAAGAACGGGUGUGAGAGUGGAAAGUUCACACUGUGACGGUAGCUUACCAGAAAGGGACGGCUAACUACGU